UUUAGAGAAGGAGUUCUCGCGAUACGCUUCAUUCAAGAUAAAGCAACGCUGAUGAUCGCUUAAACUUCUUGAUUAAUAUCAUCCUUUACAGGUCAGCGGUCACGCCUCUUUCUUUCACUCGGCACGGCGGCAGUCGCUGGAGCCUGCAGGACGCUUGACAGCUCAGCAAUGGCCCUGCCAACUUUAUCCUCAGAUGAGCUGAUCCAAACAUGACAGAAGGUGGUGUAACUAUGACAGAAGUUGAAGCACAGAAAUUCAGAGGGUGAACACAACACACCAUACCCAAUUGUCCAGGUGACCCAAGAAGACUGGAAGUCCACAUUUGAGGGACGAAGCUCCUGUUCCCUGAAGGUAGACAGGGUCGAGGUGUGUGAAGGCAUGAAGGUAGAGAAAGCCAUGAUCUCCUCAUUUUAUUCAUAUUUUUGUUUUCAAUCUUGAAUACCAACCCAAAAACAAGAACACUCUGACCUUCCUCCAGCGAUGCAUUGCGAAAAUGCCAUCCAAGAUAUCCAUGUCUUUCUUUCCUCAGUGGGAGAGAAAUUGUUUUUUGAGGAAAACAUUUCUGGAUUUUUCUUCU
Long non-coding RNA from Cyprinus carpio carpio, 577 nucleotides. The record is from Ensembl. NCBI's taxonomy places the organism in Eukaryota, Metazoa, Chordata, Actinopteri, Cypriniformes, Cyprinidae.